UACGUAGGGUGCGAGCGUUAAUCGGAAUUACUGGGCGUAAAGCGUGCGCAGGCGGUUCGUUGUGUCGGCGGUGAAAGCCCCGGGCUUAACCUGGAAAGUGCAGAGGGGACUGUUCAGCUAGAGGAUGGGAGAGGAGCGCGGAAUUCCCGGUGUAGCGGUGAAAUGCGUAGAGAUCGGGAGGAAGGCCGGUGGCGAAGGCGGCGCUCUGGAACAUUUCUGACGCUGAGGCUCGAAAGCGUGGGGAGCAAACAGG
Molecule: ribosomal RNA, 253 nt
Filed under: uncultured bacterium
Lineage: Bacteria
Description: partial 16S ribosomal RNA
Rfam family: Bacterial small subunit ribosomal RNA
Source: RNAcentral